UGAGCUGGGGGUGGCCGCAGAGACCAGCGAGAAGCGACUGUUUACUAAAAACACAGGUCCGUGCGAAGCCGUAAGGCGAUGUAUACGGACUGACGCCUGCCCGGUGCUGGAACGUUAAGGGGACCGGUUAGCUGCUCUUCGGGGUGGCGAAGCUGAGAACUUAAGCGCCAGUAAACGGCGGUGGUAACUAUAACCAUCCUAAGGUAGCGAAAUUCCUUGUCGGGUAAGUUCCGACCUGCACGAAUGGCGUAACGACUUCUCGACUGUCUCAACCAUAGGCCCGGUGAAAUUGCACUACGAGUAAAGAUGCUCGUUUCGCGCAGCAGGACGGAAAGACCCCGGGACCUUUACUAUAGUUUGAUAUUGGUGUUCGGUUCGGCUUGUGUAGGAUAGGUGGGAGACUGUGAAGCGGCCACGCCAGUGGUUGUGGAGUCGUCGUUGAAAUACCACUCUGGUCGUGCUGGAUGUCUAACCUGGGUCCGUGAUCCGGAUCAGGGACAGUGUCUGAUGGGUAGUUUAACUGGGGCGGUUGCCUCCUAAAGAGUAACGGAGGCGCCCAAAGGUUCCCUCAGCCUGGUUGGCAAUCAGGUGUUGAGUGUAAGUGCACAAGGGAGCUUGACUGUGAGACCGACGGGUCGAGCAGGGACGAAAGUCGGGACUAGUGAUCCGGCAGUGGCUUGUGGAAGCGCUGUCGCUCAACGGAUAAAAGGUACCCCGGGGAUAACAGGCUGAUCUUCCCCAAGAGUCCAUAUCGACGGGAUGGUUUGGCACCUCGAUGUCGGCUCGUCGCAUCCUGGGGCUGGAGUCGGUCCCAAGGGUUGGGCUGUUCGCCCAUUAAAGCGGUACGCGAGCUGGGUUUAGAACGUCGUGAGACAGUUCGGUCCCUAUCCGCUGUGCGCGUAGGAAUAUUGAGAAGGGCUGUCCCUAGUACGAGAGGACCGGGACGGACGAACCUCUGGUGUGCCAGUUGUUCUGCCAAGGGCAUGGCUGGUUGGCUACGUUCGGAAAGGAUAACCGCUGAAAGCAUCUAAGCGGGAAGCCUGCUUCGAGAUGAGUAUUCCCACCAACUAGAUUGGUUAAGGCUCCCAGUAGACGACUGGGUUGAUAGGCCAGAUGUGGAAGCCCGGUAACGGGUGGAGCUGACUGGUACUAAUAGGCCGAGGGCUUGUCCUC
Molecule: ribosomal RNA, 1173 nt
Filed under: Streptomyces griseus
Lineage: Bacteria; Bacillati; Actinomycetota; Actinomycetes; Kitasatosporales; Streptomycetaceae
Description: partial 23S ribosomal RNA
Rfam family: Bacterial large subunit ribosomal RNA
Source: RNAcentral